Molecule: long non-coding RNA, 352 nt
Filed under: Ananas comosus (pineapple)
Lineage: Eukaryota; Viridiplantae; Streptophyta; Magnoliopsida; Poales; Bromeliaceae
Description: long non-coding RNA (ACOM_LNC002198)
Source: RNAcentral
GAAUGCAUGCAUAUGGAAAAGUGCUUAUCUUUGCAAGUUGAGAACAUGUCACCUAUGAGGAUAAUGAUUGGAAAUGUGUACUUGAGAAUAUAUCUAUCAUGCUUGACAUAGAGAAUAAAAGUGUCAUCAAGGGGCACUUGAAACUAGUAAACUAUGAAACUGCAACAUAGAGAUAUAGCUUUAGGCCGUUGUACAUCUGCUAUAUUCCAUGUUAGAGACAUGAUGACAUAGAGAUAGGCCUAUGAGAGAUGUGACAUAUUCCAUGCUAUUAGACAUGAGGACUUGGUACUUGUGACAGGACACAUGACUACUUGCCAUUGUGCUCAUUCGCACAUGCUUGUGAGGGUCGCUC